UCAUUAAUUUAAAAUUUUCCUUAUUAAGAGAUCAAAUGUGCCGUGAUACAAAAUACUCAAUAUUUUUAUCAAAUCAUUCGUCUUGUCUAGACCUAAUUUAUCAUAGGCCAAAAAUAUAAACAUGUAAGAUUCAUAUAUUUAAUAGAUAUAACUCAUUAUACAUCUUAUGCCUUGAGUUCAGAAUGAAUCAUGUUUAAACAAUAAAUCCGAUCUAAAUUUGAUUAAGUCACACAAUUGAUUUGGUCAGUGACUACCGAAUCUCUAAUGACUAAG
Molecule: unclassified non-coding RNA, 273 nt
Filed under: Hevea brasiliensis (rubber tree)
Lineage: Eukaryota; Viridiplantae; Streptophyta; Magnoliopsida; Malpighiales; Euphorbiaceae
Source: RNAcentral